AAGAAAAAUAACUGUGGGCAGUUAUCUCGUCCAGGGACAAGCCCUUCUGAAUGUGAAAACUGCCCUCAGUAACGAGGGACUGUUACAGAUCUGUAAACUGUCAUUUCUGCUGGGAACCAACCUCACCAGGUUGGAGGGGAUCCUGAGAGAAACUCCAGCCAGGCUGCCCACUGAGAUGGAGCCUUGGGAAGCUUAGGAUGUUUGCAGCAUGGAGGAGUCUCGCCCCUCCUCUUCUUGUGUGGAACCUGGGAUUCCAACAGUGGGCGUGAAGUGAUCUAGAAAGGACUCUGACCUAGCAAGAGUCCCUGUUUCCCCUUUUUCCUCCUCUUCA
Molecule: long non-coding RNA, 331 nt
Filed under: Callithrix jacchus (white-tufted-ear marmoset)
Lineage: Eukaryota; Metazoa; Chordata; Mammalia; Primates; Cebidae
Description: lncRNA (ENSCJAG00000078158.1)
Source: RNAcentral